GGUUACCAAGUGCUACCUUCUUAGCAGCAGACCUGUGUAAAGUUAACAUAAAUCUUUGUUCUUUGCCAAAAGGCCACAGCAAAUGAUCUCUGGAGGCCUUUUCUGGCUCUAAGACAGGUCUUCAAUUCUUGGAUGCCUUCUUGUAAUCCUUCUGGAAUGACUUGGACUCUUUUCCAGUCUACUUGGGAUAGGUUUCUUGUACAGCCUGAAGAGAGCAGUGAGUAGCCUGCAUAGUCUGUCACCCUCCCUUUGGUCUAAGAAUCUCUGGUGACUUGUAGGACUCUUAUUUAUGGUUGUAGUUAUAUUCUAACACUGGAAUUCUCCACAGACUGCUGCUCGGAGAAGUUCAAUGUCUCUGAGACGGUUUCAGUGAAAGAAUUCUAUCAAAAAGAAUUUGCUGAAUUGUGAUUGCAAACAAAAUAGCUUUGUGGGGACAAAAUGUACUCCUCACAAGGGAGCCUUAUGUUUAUUUUCCAGCCUCUCCUCCCAGUGCUUCACUUCUGAUCUCUCUGCAGAAAGAAACAUUUCAACAGAGUACCCCCGCUCCCCGUGGAAACUGAGACAAUUAUCUUCCCAAAGCCCUGAACUCCCCUUCCUACUUCCGAAGGAGCCCCUCUGUUCACAGCUGCUAAAGCUAGCCGGAAGUCCGGUUCCUUCCCCAGGCAGUUCUUUUUGGAUUGUGGAUGCACACCUUUCUAAGCAUUGUGGUCUCCAAAUCAUCUAUCCAUGAUGGAUGACAUGACCAUGAAUCUUUGCUUAAAUAUGGACUCCUGAAAUAUCAUAAAAUCCCAGAGCAUCGGAGCUGGACAAAGGCCAUCUGGAUAUUUUGUCUGAGGCUCAGAGAAGACAAGGACCUUAUUUAAGGUCACACAGUGAGUUAGCUGCAGAAUUAGGACUCAGAUUCCGUUCUGUAUUCCUCAGGUCAUUGAAUCAAAGGCUGAAUUCCAUUCCUUUACAUGGCACUGGAUGCCCCACACGAUGGAGGACCUUUCUGGCAGAGCACAAUGUCCCACAGGAUUACACUGAACCAGAGGGUCCAGAUGAUAGGUGGCACAGUGGGUUGCCCUGCCACUGAGGAGUCAAUUCUAAACCACAACGGGCAUUUUUAUGGCAUGCAGCUGUACCCUAAGGAAGGAGGAGCAAGGUGAUCAACAGACAUUCAGAAGAUGGAGAAAACAGUCUCAUGAUAGUUCCUUAUCAGGCGGCUUAUUUCCCUUGCUCCAGGAAGAGUUGGUGUUCUCUGAAGGCACAGGUAAGACUAUGGUCAAGCCCUGAUUAAGUGGUCCAUGUGUGACAAAAAUACCUUUGGGGCAUUAUGUGGUG
RNAcentral lists this long non-coding RNA (1323 nucleotides) under Mustela putorius furo (domestic ferret). RNAcentral describes it as "lncRNA (ENSMPUG00000025406.1)". Lineage: Eukaryota; Metazoa; Chordata; Mammalia; Carnivora; Mustelidae. The record is from RNAcentral.